UACGCUGGCGGCACGCCUAACACAUGCAAGUCGAACGAAGUAGCAAUACUUAGUGGCAGACGGGUGAGUAACAUGUAGGUAUCUGCCCUUUGGCCUGGAAUAACACGAGGAAACUUGUGCUAAUACCUCAUAAGUCUUUACAGAGAAAGCUUUAUGCGCCAAUGGAUGAGCCUGCACUUGAUUAGUUUGUUGGUAGGGUAAUGGCCUACCAAGACAAUGAUCAAUAGCUGAUUUGAGAGGAUGAUCAGCCACAUUGGGACUGAGACACGGCCCAAACUCCUACGGGAGGCAGCAGUAGGGAAUCUUGCACAAUGGGGGAAACCCUGAUGCAGCGAUGCCGCGUGAGUGAAGAAGGCCUUUGGGUUGUAAAGCUCUUUCGUCGGGGAAGAAAAUGACUGUACCCGAAUAAGAAGGUCCGGCUAACU
This 425-nucleotide ribosomal RNA is filed under the name uncultured bacterium. RNAcentral describes it as "bacterial SSU rRNA". It matches the Rfam family "Bacterial small subunit ribosomal RNA", at positions 33 to 502 of the family's 1533-position model. The record is from RNAcentral.